CGGCGGCUCCGCGGGCGCCGCGCUCAGCUGCGAGGAGCCCUGCACCUCCUCAAACACCCUCUGCAGACAGAAGGCCCCGCCGCCCUCCGCCGAGGCUGCCUCCCGGCUCUCCUCGGCGGGUUCCGAGGUUCAGAUACAAGAUUGCUCCUUCUCUUAGGAACUUGCUCCUGCUGCCUUCUUUCUCACCAGCAGAGGUCCAGCUAACACACCAAUUUCAAAACUGGAACAAGGGUAAAUCUCUUGCUGUCAGUGUGCCAACAAGAAGUUUUAAAGACUGACUAUGUCUGUGAGUUCAUCUAGAUGUGAUUUCCCUACCAUACCUGAACAGUGGGACUGAUAUGACUGUAUCAGAAACUGGAAGUUGAGAAACACUCAGAGAAUGAAUCAGUAAUGACUGGAGAGGAGCCAUCAGCAGAUGGCCUUACCACAUCACAAGAACUAAGGGCUUUGUGUUCUGCUGAGCCUGCUUCAUCUGGGUGUGUAAGCAGCUCAUUGAAGACAAUAUGAUUUUUAUAUGCCUACAAGCAAGUGUGCUAAACAAUACUUGUGUUCACCCCAUGUCAAUCAAUUGUCUCAAAUUCUCAAGAGACAAUUAGCAGUCAAAUAUCUUGGGUUUUAUAUACAACACACCUUAAGAAAACAGUAGUUAGCCUUUACAGCAGUGACAGUGAGGAAUGAGCUAUGCUGAAUAGGAGGAUGUUUUUACAUUCUGUUAAAUAUUACAUUAAAAUACAUUGGAGAAAUGAAAGGCACAAAAAGAAUAAAAGGUAAUGCUCUAGAUUAAAAAAAAAAAAUUAGCUGGUGUGCAAGAUCAUAAAGCUAACUGUAAAAGUUGUUCACCACAAACUGUUUUGAGGACAAAAUAGAAAAGUUUUUCUGAUACAUUUCACCAUUAUUUCCUAGGUGCUUUUGUUAAAUCUUCGUAGAAAAUAACAGAAGUGGUUAAGUAAUGCUACAAGAACAUUUUGGGUGAUUACCCAGCUGAAAUACCCUUGCCCUCUAAUCAGCUCUCUGCACUUUGAAAGGCAGUUUAAGAAAGAUGUGUGUUAUCAGCAGGAUAGUUUCUUACACUUUUGGUGUGUGAAACUUUGACUUACUGCACAGGUUUUAAAAUCUGUAGAAGUCUUUCCUACAGACUGCAGGUUUGCUUAUGCUUCAUUUAACUUAAAUACAGCUGUUUAACCACGGACCUGAACUUGUAACCCAGCUUUUAUGAUGGUCUUUGGAGAAACAAUGCCAGCGGCAAUAAAGACUGUGUGAGCUUACCUGAGAAAAAGUGACUUGGGCUAACCUGCCACUCAGGCUAAUGUGCACAAAAGCCAGUUCUUGUAGCAUCAAUGACUGCAAGCUGUCACUUUGCUGUAGUUCCACUGCCCUCAUGCCAGGGGGUGUUUGUGUAAAGAGAAGAGCAGACACACAGAAAUCCAGUGAAGCUCAUUAGCAGCACACACAGCACAGCACUGGCUGUCACCCUCAGGAACAUUCUGUCCAGUCUGAACUCUCACACUGUCACUUGGACAUCUUUAUCCAUACAAGGAUAUAUAUUUGUUUUGUUCCUACAGGCAGAUAUGGAUGUUUCCCUAAGGAUGGUGACUGGAUUUGGAAAACAAUAACAAAGGUUUCUAAGAUUUUUACAACAGCUGAUGUCAAUAGCAGAAUCAUUGCAAGUGUGAUACUAGUUUUGAUUUUUCAGAGUAUUUUUAUUACUGUUUAAAUUGUACAAUUUCCACAUUAGAGAACAAUACAUAGUGUACAGUGUACAUAACUUGCAUGGUUCCCAAGUUUUGAAGUCAUGUGCCAAGCUUCAGGCUGCAAAAGAGAGUUCACCAUGCCUAAAAUGAAAGCAGGCACAUAGACACAGUUCUACAUUGCUGCAGCACAAUCUUGUGUGGCAAAUGCAACAUUAUGAGCACCACCUGUCAUUAGGAGACUGCAUGUACCAAAGGGUUAAUGACAUGGAUCCUUAACAUUCUGCCCCUGUAGCAUUUUUUCAUGUCAAAGUGACAUCACUGGAAAAACACAUUAAGCAGUUUAGUCCUUGGUUUUAAAAGUUAGUGGAAGGGUACAGCUAGUGAAACACAUCACAAAAUGAAAUUACAAAUUUGAUAUACAUUUUGCAUAGUUAAAAUUAUGUCUGGGUAACCCUGGUUACUGGAUUUUUAAACACUUUUUCUUCUGGCCUUUGUACUUUUGCUUUGAGCUGAACAGUUGUUUCAAAUUCUCCCUCAUUUAGCGCCCCCCAGUCACUUCAGACACCUUUCCAUUUCUUUGGCUGCUUUCUUUUCAUUAACAUCGUUUAACCUUUUGUAUUCCUCCUACAGCGAUAUGCUGUGCCAGACAUCCACUCCCUUACCUCUGGCUACUUGUGAUUUUUUUCUUCAGCUUUUCCCUCCUCUUCAGUCACCUCCCCUUUCUUCUGUUACUCUUCUCAACAUCUCUAAGCUCUUUCUCAUCUUCAGCCUUUCUGAUUAUCUCUUGAUAGAGAGACAAUGCCACAGGUUUCUCCUUGUUCCAUCCAGUUACUGUUGCUAUUUGCAAUACCACUUCUAAAUCCUUCAAAAGCAAUCACCUCUAAGGGCCUCAUGCUUUCCAUAUUUACACAGGGAAAGUUUUUAAUGGUUUUUUUAUAGUGAAUAGAAGACGAAAAUCCAACUCACUGCCUUGAAUUGGAGCUAGAAAGAAGAAAGCUAAUAGAGGGAAACAGAAUGAAUUACAAUCCCAAUGUAAUAGUGCAUAUUCCCUCUCUUGAACUUGGGGUUGUUUGGGUUUUUUCCCUUUUAGCAUGGAGUUAAACUUCUUCACAGUGUGUCAAUGUAUUGUCAUUGUAAUUUUAUGCUACAGUAAACUUAAGCUUGAUCACA
Molecule: long non-coding RNA, 2861 nt
Organism: Haemorhous mexicanus (house finch)
Lineage: Eukaryota; Metazoa; Chordata; Aves; Passeriformes; Fringillidae
Exons: 2
Source: RefSeq, a predicted model, not a curated record